AUUGAACGCUGGCGGCAUGCUUUACACAUGCAAGUCGAACGGUAACAGGCCUUCGGGUGCUGACGAGUGGCGAACGGGUGAGUAAUGCAUCGGAACGUGCCCAGAGGUGGGGGAUAACGCAGCGAAAGCUGUGCUAAUACCGCAUGUGAUCUGAGGAUGAAAGCGGGGGACCAGGCAGCAAUGUUUGGCCUCGCGCCUUUGGAGCGGCCGAUGUCAGAUUAGGUAGUUGGUGGGGUAAAGGCCUACCAAGCCGACGAUCUGUAGCUGGUCUGAGAGGACGACCAGCCACACUGGGACUGAGCCACGGCCCAGACUCCUACGGGAGGCAGCAGUGGGGAAUGUUGGACAAUGGGCGCAAGCCUGAUCCAGCAAUGCCGCGUGCGGGAAGAAGGCCUUCGGGUUGUAAACCGCUUUUGUACGGAACGAAAAGGCUCUGGCUAAUACCUGGGGCUGAUGACGGUACCGUAAGAAUAAGCACCGGCUAACUACGUG
RNAcentral lists this ribosomal RNA (492 nucleotides) under uncultured bacterium. RNAcentral describes it as "partial 16S ribosomal RNA". It matches the Rfam family "Bacterial small subunit ribosomal RNA", at positions 30 to 507 of the family's 1533-position model. The record is from RNAcentral.